GACACUACCCCACUCUGCCCUCUGUAACAGAUCCCAUGUGGCCCCACCACUCUCUGACAAGUCACGACAACGGACACCACUCCACUCUCCAUAACAAACUCCACGUGGCUCUGAACGACCCACCGAUGCCACUACUCUCUGUAACAAACUCCGUGUGGCCCCGAACGGCCCACUACCAGGCAGUUACGGACGUUGCUAUCAAUCAGUUAUGCUCUCCCAUCUGUAAAAAAGACCCUC
RNAcentral lists this long non-coding RNA (237 nucleotides) under Elaeis guineensis (African oil palm). RNAcentral describes it as "long non-coding RNA (EGUI_LNC020111)". The record is from RNAcentral. Lineage: Eukaryota; Viridiplantae; Streptophyta; Magnoliopsida; Arecales; Arecaceae.